This is an RNA transcript of Oncorhynchus kisutch (coho salmon), 4916 nucleotides long. RefSeq lists it as uncharacterized. Lineage: Eukaryota; Metazoa; Chordata; Actinopteri; Salmoniformes; Salmonidae. The record is from RefSeq and is a predicted model, not a curated record. The transcript has 3 exons.
CACUAGAACGAGAACCUUCUGAGCUGCGAUAUUGAUAGGCUACCAUAUUAAGACAUUUAAAAUAAAAUAAAAAUAUUCAUUUCCCCAGAGUGGAUAAAAAGUAACCUGUAAGUAGCCUAUCCCAACGUGUCAAAUUUAAUAGUGUGCUCUCACCUGAACAGUGCUGCAGUCCAUAACAUUAUUAUUAACCCGGAUUCAGGUUACAAGAUUGGAAGUGGAGAUGUUGGGAAAACAUUUUCUCUGGGUUUGUCUCCUUUCGGUGUCAAUUCCGUUAUGUUUCGCCGAAGACCUGAAGAGGGAUGCGCACAUACAGCAUGAAAAUGAUUCAGUUUGGAGCCAAGGGAAACCCGGAAGACUGUUUGCCAGGAGACGGAUUUUGCCACAUCAGGGACAGCACCACGUUGCAUUUCAGAAACACGAGCCUGUAGCCCCUGCCCGGCGGUGUGGCCGUCUGAUGGAUAGCUGUGCCCCUCACACUCCCUGCUGUGACCCCUGUGCCUCCUGCCGCUGUCGCCUCUUCAACACCAUCUGCCACUGCUGGAGACUGGGCCCACACUGCCCCAAGAAGACCUAGACAAACACACACACACACACACACACACACACACACACACACACACACACACACACACACACACACACACACACACACACACACACACACACACACACACACAAUACACAAUACACAAUACACAACACAUACAACACACUCCACACAUACACACACACACACACACACCACACACACACACACACACACACACACACACACACACACACACACACACAUACACACACACACACACACACAUAAUACACACCACACACACAAUACACACCACACACCAUAUACACCACACACACACACACACAACUCUUCACCACAUAUACACACACACGACUGCCACUGUUGGAAACUGGGCCAGCACUGCCCCUAGAGGAACCAGAGACCCUGUACAGGCAAACACACACACUCACACAUACACAUCUCACAGAGACUGCUAGACAUCACACUGAUGCACUUGCACAGGUAAACACAUACGGAUCCAAAACCUGGACAUACUACACAGAUAUAUAUGCUUAAAUGUUUUGGACCUGAUGAAUGACACAUCACAUAUCGCAAGGCCCACAAUAUAGGUUCAAUGACACAUCACAUAUCGCAAGGCCCACAAUAUAGGUUCAAUGACACAUCACAUAUCGCAAGGUCCACAAUAUAGGUUCAAUGACACAUCACAUAUCGCAAGGUCCACAAUAUAGGUUCAAUGACACAUCACAUAUCGCAAGGCCCACAAUAUAGGUUCAAUGACACAUCACAUAUCGCAAGGUCCACAAUAUAGGUUCAAUGACACAUCACAUAUCGCAAGGUCCACAAUAUAGGUUCAAUGACACAUCACAUAUCGCAAGGUCCACAAUAUAGGUUCAAUGACACAUCACAUAUCGCAAGGUCCACAAUAUAGGUUCAAUGACACAUCACGUAUCGCAAGGUCCACAAUAUAGGUUCAAUGACACAUCACGUAUCGCAAGGUCCACAAUAUAGGUUCAAUGACACAUCACGUAUCGCAAGGCCCACAAUAUAGGUUCAAUGACACAUCACGUAUCGCAAGGUCCACAAUAUAGGUUCAAUGACACAUCACGUAUCGCAAGGUCCACAAUAUAGGUUCAAUGACACAUCACGUAUCGCAAGGCCCACAAUAUAGGUUCAAUGACACAUCACAUAUCGCAAGGCCCACAAUAUAGGUUCAAUGACACGUCACAUAUCGCAAGGCCCACAAUAUAGGUUCAAUGACACGUCACAUAUCGCAAGGCCCACAAUAUUGGUUCAAUGACACAUCACAUAUCGCAAGGCCCACAAUAUUGGUUCAAUGACACAUCACGUAUCGCAAGGCCCACAAUAUUUUCUAUGUAUGUAUAUAAACGAUGUAUGGAUGUGUUGUGGAUAUGUAACAGUAUAUGUUUCCUGCACAACUGUAUUAAUUCAGCUUUUGUAUAAUUGUGCUACUGUAGAUUGUAGGUCAUGUCGAGCCAAUGCUAACCCAUAAAAACAUCAAAUAACUUCCACAAACAUCCUCUCUAUAUUUUCUCUAUUGAAUAAAUAACUUUGUUAGCCUCACUCAUCUACUUUUUUAUUGCUAUUCUCACCAGUUAUCCCUGCUGGCAAAACAUAUUGCUGUAUGCUCAAUAACAGGUUUUGCUGCUGUGGUUACAUAUAUUUUGAAAUUACUAGCAAACUCCCCAGUGGAUUAAAGUGGAUAUAAGGUAGUGAGAGCUUGGGGCAGCAGCGUAGAAAGGGAUAGCUUUGUGGCUGGGCAUAAGUAAGGCUAGGCAUAAGUACAAGUGGCUGGGCUAACAUUUUCCGGCAAAAAUACCUGACAUAUUUAAGUGAACAUUUGUGCAUCACAUUGGAUUAUUUAAAACAUAAUACAGGAUAAAUGUAACUAAAAACUACCACAGUGCGAACUACGCAACCGCUUACUACAACACUGCUGACAAAGCAGGCCGAUUGCCUGAGUCCAACAGUAAGGAAACAUAAUGAAAUACACAACAUGUCUAUAACCUACAUACUCAAGAGAGAGAGAGAGAAACAAACAAACAAACAAACAAAAAAAAGAUGAAAGAUUUUACAGCAGCAGACAAGUGAUACAAUUGGAAAAAUGUUACUGUCACAAAAUACAGAUAAUGGGCUAGAUUGUUGAGACGAUCUGAUUGAUGUCUUGAUACGGCCUGUAGUGAAGAAGAGUCUCUCUACACUACAUAAAGUCACUGGAAGGGUGAUGAUGGUCCUUAGUAGCCUAUUGAUGUGAGGGAAAAUGUCCAGGGAUUUGAAUUCCUGCCCUCCCCCCAACUUUCCGACGCAGUUGCUGAAUAAACACGGUUAAUUCAGCAUUCUCAUCAGAUACAUGAUAGUGAUUGCAUAGGUCCAGCAGUGAUUCUUUCAGUAAUCCUAGACGCUGGCAGACAGGACGCUGCUGCUCUCAUUAUUCCAUAUGGAUCCUCCUGGAACUGGGUGUGCAGCUCAGUCAAACGGAUAGAGACAUAUAUAAGGAUUGGAAGCACCCCAAUUAGAUCCCAGGAGCCUCCUGCAUUUUUCUAAAUUUCCAAUUAGUCAGGAGACAAUACAAAACGACAAAUCAAAUUCAUUUAUUUCAUUUGAUAUUUAUUUUAAGCCAGCCUGAUUGGCUAGUGCCCGGCCCUGAAUAGAGAAUAAGUUGUAAUAAAUGAUAACAAAACAAUUCUCCAUGUGAAUGUAGCUGGGUUGCCAGGACGGGUGGUUAAUAGACCGGCGAAGUUGAGCACCGGAGAGGGGGGAGCGGGAGUAGACAUGACAGUAGCCUGUAACCAGUCUAUAGCCUUUAGCAGCAGUGGAAGGAGAGUCAUUCAAGAUGUCCGUUCUCCCCCCCCCCCCCCCCCCCCCACACACACACACACAAAGUUCAGUGUAAAAUCAUCAAAGUGUAGUCCAGAGGUGUACUCUCUGAUAGGCAUGGUGCAAUACAGUCACACACAGUCACACAUUAUCAAGUCCCUCGAUUGAGCACCUGAUUCCCCUUUUUGUUCAAACUGGGCUGAAGCGUGUUUGGGUACGCUUUCAUUCUAUUAGUCACACAUACCUCGCUGAGAGCUGGUUCACACAGUGAUACAUUCACCAAGAGAACAGAGACCGCAGGCUCCACGACAUUACCCUUAUUCCUCUCAUUACUGUAACUUCAAGAUUUAUUCUCUCAAGAUGUAUGUGUCAAAUUGUUCCCUCAGGACAAAUGCUAACUAGACAACCAUGCAGAUCUGUGUGUGUGGCUCGCAUCUUGGUCCAAUUUCCAAUUGAAAAUGACAUGCAAUGGUUUAGAGAAAAGUUUAUGAAUCUUAAAGACUUAGAGAAAAUAUAAAUAAUUGUCUUGUUACUUCUUUCUUCUGUUGUUAAGCUUUGUGGUCAGAGGUCAUUAUAUGACUGCUAACAUUGUCUGUCAGGUGGUGAAAACAGUGUUUUCCCCUUGAUCGACCCCAGAGUUGACAUGGGAUUUUUUUUUUUUUACUUCAGUAUUGUGGAUGUUUUAAAAAAUAUUUUCUGUUUUCUGUUAUUGCAAACCACACAAAUCCUAAGUUUAGGAAAACAAUAUGCUAUUACUCAUGGGUGUGGGGAGGUGAGCCGCAUUCUGUCCAGCAACAUUUAUGUCCAUUUAGGUGACCCCUUUUCACUCAAAAGAAUCCCCGGAGGCACAAUUUCUUUACAGCCUCUUUAAAAACAUCACUCUUAUCUUGCUCACAUUUUUCUGCAGUUAAAGAUAACCUGCAUAAACAUCUGCAUAUGGUUGAUUUUGCAAAUACAGGCACUUUUGGAUGUUAAAUGUUUUUGAAAACUAAACCGCUUGGAACUGAUUUUUAUCUAUCUGAAUAUUUUCUUCAUUCUGGAAACAAGUUCCAAUAGUGUCUGAGAACAUACUAUUUAAGAAUAUAAAGAAUACCAGAGGGGAAAUGUCAUUACCACCACGUCAUAAAAUGUGCUAUUUUAGUUUAAAGGAUAUUACAGAAAUGUUGCUUUAGAUAUUUUAUAGAACAUUUCAGAAGAUUUUUGUUAAAUCGUGCUUUCUUUUACUAUUUAGAAAUGUUCUUAUUUAUAUGUAUUCAUCAUUGUCAUGUAUAAAUGUCCAUAUAUGCCUCGAUAAUACUCAAAAACAUAUAUUUACCACAUCAAAAUGUUUACAUUUUACAUUAUUUUAGGAAUUAUCUUAAGAACAAGCAUAUAAUCUUCACUUAUGGGAAAAAUCAUCCAUAUCAAUUGUAAUUGAAUAACACCUUUUCCUCAAAAAUAUGUACCGUCAUGGUAAUGCCUUAGCGUUGUGGUAAUGGCAGAGUGCGGUGGAAAUUACAUUUCAAAUUAAACAACUGAUGAAAAAUACCAUUAAACAUUUUAAAUGUCA